GGUUACAUAAACUAAUUGUUUAAAGAUUAACUACAUAAUAGCACUGUUACGAAAAGUUUAGGAAACGUUAAAACAGGCGGUUACGGACUAAUAGACGAUUGUUAUUUUUAAUUAGCGGCCAAUUUAAACUCAUUUUCGUGCAUUCCGAUUCGGCGAACCGGCGACGGUCGUGUCACAAGCCGUGAAUCAUAUUAUUGGGUAUUGUAAUAUUCCUGC
Molecule: non-coding RNA, 216 nt
Organism: Cinara cedri
Lineage: Eukaryota; Metazoa; Arthropoda; Insecta; Hemiptera; Aphididae
Source: the annotation of a GenBank genome assembly